Long non-coding RNA from Poecilia latipinna (sailfin molly), 1159 nucleotides. RefSeq lists it as uncharacterized. The transcript is spliced from 3 exons. Lineage: Eukaryota; Metazoa; Chordata; Actinopteri; Cyprinodontiformes; Poeciliidae. The record is from RefSeq and is a predicted model, not a curated record.
AAACGCGGCCCCUGUGGUAGGUAAGGUCCGUUGGAGUAGCACAGACUGCGUCUCCCUUGUGCUCAUUUACAUGCUGUUUUUCAGCUUAAAGCCUGAGCUGAACGUUUUGCCCGUCUCUCUCUCUGGUGCUGCGUCUUCUCCUUCUUUGAGGGUUCCUGGCUGGGACAGGCCGGGUCUGGUCCCGUGUUAACGCAGUUAUACAGAGAUAAAAGGUUCCUUUAAUGGCUCCUCAGUGGAUAGACGUGCAGUGGCAUGCAACACCACCUGCACUCUGUGAGAGGACACGAUUCAGCAGGAGCCACGGGGCCUUCGGUCAGCAUCGCCCCACGGUGCGCUGUAAUGAGUUGCUGAGCUUAAUGAGAGCUAAUGUCAUCACGGCCAUUGAACCCCUCUUGCCACGAGGCCCUGCUGGCGCCUCCCGCUGCGUUGCCGCUAAACAGCAACGUGGAAACCAGGCUGGUGGCAGCGAGCUUGAUAGCAGGCCUGCUGCAGUUUGGGCUCUGAAGCAGAUGGAUCGCAUGGAGGAGGACAAGAGCCUGUGGAGUUCGUAAUGGAUCCAAUCACAAGUCAGGGCAGCUGGGUUAAUGUUGGGGAUAAUUCUCUGUCUUUAUUUUGACCAUGAACUAACUACUAGUGGUGGUGAAAUUUAACAGCUUUGAUUCACACGCAAACUUUUCAGCUUAAACUUCAAGAUUGGAUUUCAGGUUUGCACAUAAAUGAAGUGAUUGCAGAGGUUCUCCAGGUAAAAAUCCUGAUCUGUUUAUGUAUGUAGAAUGAACUACUUUCAAAAUUAUACUGUGAAACUGGAGUUACAUGGAGUCCCAUUUGUGGCCCCUAUGGCAUCAGAGAUGCUCAAAAACCCCUUUAGAAGCUCUAACAGUAAAAUCAGAAAUAGAAAUUGAAAUACAUUUUAUUGUCCCACAGAGGGGAAAUUCACAGUAACAAAGUGACAGGCAAAUUAAGCAAGUAGAUUCACACAAAGAUACAAGAAAUAUUAAAAAAAUAUAUCAUAAAAACAGAAUUACGACUAAAAAAUAGUAUUCAGUUAUUAAAAAUAGCAUAUUCUGAUCAAAACAAAUGUGCAACUUAACAGGAUAAUUUAAAAGCAUGUACACAUUCAACAACCUAAUUACAAUAAGUGACAAUAAAAACUAAGUUG